Molecule: unclassified non-coding RNA, 330 nt
Filed under: soil metagenome
Description: partial contains 5.8S ribosomal RNA, internal transcribed spacer 2, and large subunit ribosomal RNA
Rfam family: 5.8S ribosomal RNA (bases 3-118)
Source: RNAcentral
GAAAGAACGUAGCAAAAUGCGAUAAGUAAUGUGAAUUGCAGAAUUCAGUGAAUCAUCGAAUCUUUGAACGCACAUUGCGCCCGCCAGUAUUCUGGCGGGCAUGCCUGUUCGAGCGUCAUUUCAACCCUCAAGCUCAGCUUGGUGUUGGGACUCGCGGUAACCCGCGUUCCCCAAAUCGAUUGGCGGUCACGUCGAGCUUCCAUAGCGUAGUAAUCAUACACCUCGUUACUGGUAAUCGUCGCGGCCACGCCGUAAAACCCCAACUUCUGAAUGUUGACCUCGGAUCAGGUAGGAAUACCCGCUGAACUUAAGCAUAUCAAUAAGCGGGGA